ACUCCUACGGGAGGCAGCAGUGGGGAAUAUUGCACAAUGGGCGCAAGCCUGAUGCAGCCAUGCCGCGUGUGUGAAGAAGGCCUUCGGGUUGUAAAGCACUUUCAGUAAGGAGGAAAGGUUAGUAGUUAAUACCUGCUAGCUGUGACGUUACUUACAGAAGAAGCACCGGCUAACUCCGUGCCAGCAGCCGCGGUAAUACGGAGGGUGCGAGCGUUAAUCGGAAUUACUGGGCGUAAAGCGUACGCAGGCGGUUUGUUAAGCGAGAUGUGAAAGCCCCGGGCUCAACCUGGGAACUGCAUUUCGAACUGGCAAACUAGAGUGUGAUAGAGGGUGGUAGAAUUUCAGGUGUAGCGGUGAAAUGCGUAGAGAUCUGAAGGAAUACCGAUGGCGAAGGCAGCCACCUGGGUCAACACUGACGCUCAUGUACGAAAGCGUGGGGAGCAAACGGGAUUAGAUACCCUGGUAGCGAGUA
This 472-nucleotide ribosomal RNA is filed under the name uncultured bacterium. RNAcentral's name for it is "bacterial SSU rRNA". It matches the Rfam family "Bacterial small subunit ribosomal RNA", at positions 335 to 799 of the family's 1533-position model. The record is from RNAcentral.